GACGAACGCUGGCGGCGUGCUUAACACAUGCAAGUCGAACGGACCUUAGCAUCAAGCUUGCUUAAUGCGAAAGGUUAGUGGCGGACGGGUGAGUAACACGUGGAUAAUCUGCCUAUGACACAGGGAUAACACUGUGAAAACGGUGCUAAUACCAGAUACGUUUAUCGAAUCGCAUGGUUUGAUAAAGAAAGGAGCAAUCCGGUCAUAGAUGAGUCCGCGGCUGAUUAGCUAGUUGGUGAGGUAACGGCUCACCAAGGCGAUGAUCAGUAGCCGGCCUGAGAGGGUGAACGGCCACACUGGGACUGAGACACGGCCCAGACUCCUACGGGAGGCAGCAGUGGGGAAUCUUCCGCAAUGGACGAAAGUCUGACGGAGCAACGCCGCGUGGGUGAAGAAGGCCUUCGGGUUGUAAAACCCUGUCUUAUGGAAGAAAAAAUGACGGUACCAUAGGAGGAAGCCACGGCUAACUACGUGCCAGCAGCCGCGGUAAACACGAGAACG
RNAcentral lists this ribosomal RNA (501 nucleotides) under uncultured bacterium. RNAcentral's name for it is "bacterial SSU rRNA". It matches the Rfam family "Bacterial small subunit ribosomal RNA", at positions 28 to 533 of the family's 1533-position model. The record is from RNAcentral.